Long non-coding RNA from Cavia porcellus (domestic guinea pig), 3116 nucleotides. RefSeq lists it as uncharacterized. NCBI's taxonomy places the organism in Eukaryota, Metazoa, Chordata, Mammalia, Rodentia, Caviidae. The record is from RefSeq and is a predicted model, not a curated record. The transcript is spliced from 4 exons.
AGGAGGCAUUGUGGGUUCUCCUAUAAGUUGCUGUCUGAGCUGUUGGUUCUCCUGGAGAAGCUUUGGUCUUCACAUCGAGCAUUGCUUCCUGGCUCCGGAGGAGAAGACAUGUGUUGCUUGGUCUCCAAGAUGAACUCGUCACCCUGCUUCCUGGUGUACUGAAAAAUUCUCUGCCCUUAUUUCAGCUUGCCAACAGUUGACAUGAAGAAUCUUGAUAAAACUACAUAUGGUGAUUAAAUCUUAACUCAAAACUCUUCAGAGCCAUAUUCCCAUUUGUGUUUUUGUUGGACAGGGAAAAGCAGAGACUAUAUGAGAAAUGAGUUGUAUAAAAAUAGGAUCUUGCAUGUCAAUAGGCUUAUGUUUAAGAGUUCUCUGGGAAAACCAUUUUUUCCUUCUUUCACUUGGACCCAAGGUCAUCAUCAACUGGCAGACAGCUGAAGACAAAAGUCUAUUCAGUGCAUUCAUACCUUUCCAGAUGCUUCCUUGGAGGUUUCUGGGGCUGACAGCAAAUGCAUUUUAAAAUGUUUUAUAAAAGAGUCAUCAAAUAAAAAUCCUGGUGAGUCUGGUGGGACCUCUGAGAAUUAAGAGAUUUUAAUAUCCCUAAAAUAUUGCAAAAAAAAGUACUAUUUUAAAAUGUCUUUGUGACCUUUCUGGCUAAAUUAGAAAUGAAAAAUAAGAGACAAGCACAUUUUUUUUCUUAUUCAAGAGAAGCGGAAAAGUCUCAUUAAGAAACCCAGGAAACUAGGAUCAAAGAAAGAACAGAAGAGGAGGAAGGUGGAAACAUCAGAUACAAAGAUCGUGGAUGCUAAAGCUUAUUCUGUGAGCUCUUUGUGGAACAGGAGAUUUCAGUUUGUAUUACAGAAUCUUUACCCAAAUGUUGAUCCUCUGUCUUCACUCUGUAAAUUUAAACACUAUGUAUUUCCUUCAAAAUUAGUAAUCUUUAAGAAAGGAAAAUAGAGAAGCUGACCCCUCUCACUCCCUUCAAUAGAUACUGAAUCUAUUCAUGAUUAAAUUUGUGAAUAUGAAAAUAUACUAAUUUAGUAAUCAGCCACAGACAAAAGUCCUCCUGAUAGGUGGCUCAGAGGGUUUAUGUCUCUUGCCAGAUUUCUGACCUCUAGGAAGGUUUUCAUAACUCAUGCUAUUUUUGAAAGUCCCCAAGAUUUCAGCAAAUUGUUGUGUGUAUAGAUUCAAUAUAUUAUAAAUAUGGAUAUAUGUCCUUUAUAAUAUUGUAUUUAUUUAUGUGCGUAAAAUGAGGAAAGCAAUCAUGUUGAUACAUUGAGGUCUUACUGCAAUAUUUUAGGUGUUUCUUGAGUGCAAAGUAACUAUUUUAGUUAAAUUAAUUACAAAUAAAUAUUUCUAAAGGCAACAGCAAGACUAAGUAAACUUAGCAUUUGUGACAGAAUAGAAUAGGAAUAUAACAAAUUUGCUAAAGAAAUGAAAAUCAAUUGCAAGUUGGUUUGGUCGGAGUCAAGAAACUUAACAAGGAAGCUAGUAUAUAGAUACACACCUCCUAUAACUGCUACUGAUUUUCCACGUAAAUCUCCCCUGGUAUGUGGAUGGACAUGUUGAUAACAGGGAACAACCCCACUCUUAAGUUUUCUAGGAAAACCAGUACUAAUAAAACUCCUGGAAAUAGAAAUUAACACUGUCAUCUGCAUGUUGAUCAUACAACGAAAUGUAUAAAACAUGUUUCUUCAACAACCAUUCUACAAUGUAUUCUUUCAUUGCAAAACACUGCAGAACAGAUUGAGAGAGAAAAUAGAAAGAGAAAAGUACAGAUCAUAGGAAACCAGUGUGUUGAAAGUGACUCAGAAUCAUUCGUGUUCUAUUUUUAAAAUUAAGUAUCUUUCAUAAGAUCAUUUAUGUUCGAGUUUGCUUUGUUGUAUUAAUACCUCUGAGAUGAAUUAUUUGGGUCUGUAUUUCUGAUAUUUUUCUGUCAUAUGUUGCUUGCAGUGCAAAAAGAGGUGGCACAUAUACUUUACUAUUCCAAGAGGAAAACAGAUGUUACAAUUGGUGUGGCUGUGGUACGAUUAAAUACAUUGUAACUUUUUAAAAAAUCAAAAAUGUAUAUAAAUAUGCUUUAGAGUAUCCUUUUUAAAGAUGAAGUGUCAAAUCAAUGAGACUCGGUAGAAAUAGGAGAAGCAGAAAACAAAAAUAACCACACAUUUUCUUAGAAAAAAAUGGUUUUCAUUUUUGUCUUUAAAUCUUCCUGUGAUAUAAAUGAGGGUGCCGUACAUGAAAAUAUUCUGUUAUAUGUUUGGGAGUUGUUUAUGAUGGAUGACUUGAAGGUUUGGAUGUUUUAUGCCAGAGGAAUAAAUAGACCUGUUGCUAAAACUGUCUAAAUUUCAUAAAGAAAAUUGAUAUGGAAAAAGAAACAACAGUGAAUUUCUUCAAUGGUUCAAUAGUUUCACAUUCUUUUCUACUUGAGCUUAAUUUUUUUUUUCUUUUUGUGGUAUGUGAGGCAGAACCAGGAGCCAUUUUGUAAAAUAUUUAUGUUGCAAUGAAGAAAAUACUCAGUGUAGUAGCUUUUACUUUUCAAUCCUACAAAGAAAUCCAAGGAAAUCUUCAUUUGGUUUCCACUCUGAAGAUAUAAUUAUGGUCUCAAGGCCAGUCUUUGUACUCCUGAAUAUCUUACUGUGUAGUACAAGAUGUAAAAUGGCUAGGAUAGUUGCCAUCAUUCUGGACUGGAAGGUAGAAAAAUGCAUCUCAUAAUGAUUCUCCAAUUAGUAAAUAUUAGGGGGGGAAAUCACUUAAUUUUCUAUCUCACUUUACUUUGAAAAUGGGAAAUUUGUUGUAGAUGAUUUCCAGAAAAAUUCCUAGCUCUAACCAGAAGUCUGUAUGAAUCUGAAGGAAAAGAAAACAAACAAUGUUUGUAUUUGUGUCAGUCCGUCAUGAUGUAUUUGCUACUAAGUGGAGAACAGAAUUCUCAGAGAUUUUUCUCUUUAAUUUGCUUCUUCAAAUAUUUUAAUAUCUACAUUCAUUUUUAAAUAUUAAAUUUAUAUGAUCAUUGUGUUUAGGCUACUACUAUCUACUCUAUCAAAAAUGUCAGCUUCCAUGUGGGAAAAAAGCUGUGUAUUUUUAAAAAAAUUAUUUAGUGAAUUAAGUGAAACACUGUC